This 467-nucleotide ribosomal RNA is filed under the name uncultured bacterium. RNAcentral's name for it is "partial 16S ribosomal RNA". It matches the Rfam family "Bacterial small subunit ribosomal RNA", at positions 28 to 506 of the family's 1533-position model. The record is from RNAcentral.
GACGAACGCUGGCGGCGUGCUUAACACAUGCAAGUCGAACGGAGAGGCCCUGCUUUUGUGGGGUGCUCGAGUGGCGAACGGGUGAGUAACACGUGAGUAACCUGCCCUUGACUUUGGGAUAACUUCAGGAAACUGGGGCUAAUACCGGAUAGGAGCUCCUGCUGCAUGGUGGGGGUUGGAAAGUUUCGGCGGUUGGGGAUGGACUCGCGGCUUAUCAGCUUGUUGGUGGGGUAGUGGCUUACCAAGGCUUUGACGGGUAGCCGGCCUGAGAGGGUGACCGGCCACAUUGGGACUGAGAUACGGCCCAGACUCCUACGGGAGGCAGCAGUGGGGAAUAUUGCACAAUGGGCGGAAGCCUGAUGCAGCAACGCCGCGUGCGGGAGGACGGCCUUCGGGUUGUAAACCGCUUUCGCCUGUGACGAAGCGUGAGUGACGGUAAUGGGGAAAGAAGCACCGGCUAACUACGU